CGUCUGCCUCUCCAUUGGGUCUUAUAUUUCCUUGAACCAAUGCUCAUAGAGCACGGGUUUGGUACAUUGCCCGGUGAGCGUGAUCGUCUCGCGUCAGAUGAACCCAACGCCGGGCUGCCCUUACCCACCUGAUCCUCCGGUUCAGGCUGCCGAUCCAGUGGCUUCCGAGGCAGACAC
RNAcentral lists this unclassified non-coding RNA (177 nucleotides) under Lampropedia hyalina DSM 16112. RNAcentral's name for it is "6S / SsrS RNA". The record is from RNAcentral. Lineage: Bacteria; Pseudomonadati; Pseudomonadota; Betaproteobacteria; Burkholderiales; Comamonadaceae.